RNAcentral lists this ribosomal RNA (422 nucleotides) under uncultured bacterium. Its description in RNAcentral is "SSU rRNA". It matches the Rfam family "Bacterial small subunit ribosomal RNA", at positions 369 to 808 of the family's 1533-position model. The record is from RNAcentral.
CAAUGGGGGAACCCUGAUGCAGCAACGCCGCGUGAGCGAUGAAGGCCUUCCCGGUCGUAAAGCUCUGUCCUCAAGGNAAGAUAAUGACGGUACUUGAGGAGGAAGCCCCGGCUAACUACGUGCCAGCAGCCGCGGUAAUACGUAGGGGGCUAGCGUUAUCCGGAAUUACUGGGCGUAAAGGGUGCGUAGGUGGUUUCUUAAGUCAGAGGUGAAAGGCUACGGCUCAACCGUAGUAAGCCUUUGAAACUGGGAAACUUGAGUGCAGGAGAGGAGAGUGGAAUUCCUAGUGUAGCGGUGAAAUGCGUAGAUAUUAGGAGGAACACCAGUUGCGAAGGCGGCUCUCUGGACUGUAACUGACACUGAGGCACGAAAGCGUGGGGAGCAAACAGGAUUAGAUACCCUGGUAGUCCAAGGGCGAAUUC